Molecule: ribosomal RNA, 467 nt
Filed under: uncultured bacterium
Lineage: Bacteria
Description: partial 16S ribosomal RNA
Rfam family: Bacterial small subunit ribosomal RNA
Source: RNAcentral
GAUGAACGCUGGCGGCGUGCUUAACACAUGCAAGUCGAACGGAAAGGCCCAAGCUUGCUUGGGUACUCGAGUGGCGAACGGGUGAGUAACACGUGGGUGAUCUGCCCUGCACUUCGGGAUAAGCCUGGGAAACUGGGUCUAAUACCGGAGAGGACGAUGGGUUGGAUGCCAUUGUGGAAAGUUUUUUCGGUGUGGGAUGAGCUCGCGGCCUAUCAGCUUGGUGGGGGGGUAAUGGCCUACCAAGGCGUCGACGGGUAGCCGGCCUGAGAGGGUGUACGGCGACACUGGGACUGAGAUACGGCCCAGACGCGUACGGGAGGCAGCAGUGGGGAAUAUUGAACAAUGGGCGCAAGCCUGAUGAAGAGACGCCGCGUGGGGGAUGACGGCCUUAGGGUUGUAAACUCAUUUCGCUAGGGACGAAGCGUUUUGUGACGGUACCUGGAGAAGAAGCACCGGCUAACUACGUG